CUGUUGUGAUCCCUACAGGCCAAGACGUCCAGAGUUUCACAGCUAAAAACAACAGUGGGACUCUGGCCACCUUCUCGCUUCCUCCACGGAUGACCUACCCAGUCCAGAUCCCUGCAGGGGUCACAAUGCAGACAGCCUCUGGCCAGCUUUACAAGGUCAACAUCCCAGUGAUGGUGUCCCAGGCUCCAGCCGGCCACAGCCCUCUCCCCUCAGCUCCAGAAGGGGGUACCUGUAGUGGAGCAGAGCGAUCCCAGCUCAGCUUCCCAGCAGUCAGCUAUGGUGGUCCCUUCUACUGUCCUCAAGACCAUGACCCCUCCGAAGACAGAACCGUUCUCCCCACGGACUGUGGCCCCUCCCACAGCUCUACCUCAGACACCAGAGCAGAAGACCCUGAUACGUCCAGUCCAGUUGAUGCCUCCGGUCCAGCCACCUGAUGAGAAGCCCGUGCUACCCAAACCCAUGGUCCAGCCCCCAGUUCAGGAGAACCAUCUCCUUCAGCAGCCACAGGUUCCUUUAGCUCAAGCACGCUUUUCUGUACAGACUCCAGUGUCCUUUUAUUUCCCGUCCCAACCGCCAUCUCACCCCCCAGAGAGCCCUUUUGACAGUGGUGAUUUCAAUCUGGAUGGGAUUGACUUCGACAGUCCACAGCCACAGCAGCUAGACAUGAGCCUGUCCUCAUCCCUCUCCUCUGGCUCCGCCCAGAUGCCAAAGCCUUCAGGCAAAGUCUUAUAAAAAAGAUGGUGAACAGGAGGACAACACACCUGAGCAGGAUAUAACAGACCUGGAGGGUCUACCUGUGUAUGCUACCAAGCUGGAGAUGACCCUGUUGAAAGACUACAACUUCAACGAUGCUCUGGCAGACAUCAUCCACCUGAACAGCAGUUCUGAUGUGGAGGAGUUGGAGGAGGUGAUGGAAGGAGGUGUGUAGCAUUGUGUCAACAAUAGUUGUGCUAGCCAAAGGAAGUGUUUGCCUUGUUAGCUAACGGUUGCUGCGCCAUUCUCAUAAGAAGCUUGCUGAUGCAUGAACAAGCUAACGAGUGUGGUUACAGCAAAGAUGGUGGAUAAAUGAAGAUGUCCCUCUCAGGCCAUUUACCAUUGAAAAUGGUCAAUUCCGGUCUGAACAGGGUGGCUCUCACUUAGGCAACAAUGCAUUAGCAGCUGGGUCUGGUCUGCUUAGUUCAUCGACUGUAUAUGAACCAUAAAAAAAUGAGAGAGUGGGAUGUCUCGCUUCCUCUUCCGUCUGUGUUUACAGGUGCAAUGGGAGAGAAUGAGUUUCUAGGUAUGAUCACUGCGGAGGCUCUGCAGGCCCUACAGGAGGCAGAGGGCAGCAGCGAUGAUGGCAACUCCAGCUCCAGUGGUGACGGUGUCUGGAUGGAUGACUUCCCAGUGGAAGAGAAGCAGAUACCCACGUGCCAUCUCCUCAUUGGUUAUAACCACGUGGGUGAUUGAAAGAUGAACUGAGGUUGGUCGGUCAUGGUAAUCCACCUAUGAAAGUUAGAUGCCAAUCGCCAUAUCAAGUUCAAAGAAGAAAAGGCCUGGAAGGAGGAGAGAUGACUUGAAACGAUUCGGUUGACCGUUUUAUGUGUGGAUUAAUUAUCGGAGUAGAGGACAUUGUGCAUUUCAGAUUCACCUCAUUAAGAACUGGUGGAAGUUCUAUCUGAAGGAUGGGGUGAUGUGUUACGGAGGGGAGGACUGUCUUCUCAAAGGCUGUUGAGGAGGCAGAGUGGUGACUGGAUUCAUGUUAUGUUCCACUGCAAUGCCAAUACAGAUCCUAAGUAGCAUGCUAGUGUGAAUAUCAGAACAGAACCUUGGUCUGUAUUUCACCCAUGUGGAUACAGCCUUGACUUAGUCUUAAAUGUGUCCAACGAGGUGUAUAAUACAAGUGUGUAAAACAAUAAUAUUAUCAUUUUGAAGUUAUUGGGGAAAACCAGUUGUUCAGUGAGCUAGAAAAAACAUUUUGGAAUCUAUACAGACUUCUGUGAAGGAAAUGUCUGGAUGAGAAGUAAUGUGUCUGGCCCAAAUCACACCCUAUAUACUGCACUACUUUUGAUCAGGCUCCAUAGGGCUCUGGUCAAAAGUAGUGCACUAUAUGGUGCAUAGGGUACCAUUUGGGAUGCUCACUAUCUAAUUCAGCCACCACAGUGCAGUAAUGGCUUUCUGAUUUGUUGAUUUCAUCCUUUAUUUAACUAUUUAAAAUGUUUCUCUUAUUUAUGUUAUGUAAUGCCGUUAAUGAGCACAUUUGCCAAGUAGGUCCAAACGGAGCUUAGUAAUUUUUAAUGAUGCUCUGUUUGUUUAUAUGUACCAAAUUCAUUCAUAUUAAGAGAUACAUCAUGUGAUUUUCUGUUCUGAGCAAUGUUACAAAACAAUGUAUACAGUAUGCCACAAAAUGUUUUUCUUUCUGCCAUGGUGGUCUUUUCUGAGUCCUUGGUAGUGACUGAAAUGUGAAUUCAAAUACCUCUUAUUUUUUCACUGUCAAUAAAAUAUAAGCA
This 2489-nucleotide long non-coding RNA is filed under the name Salmo salar (Atlantic salmon). RNAcentral's name for it is "lncRNA (ENSSSAG00000115832.1)". The record is from RNAcentral. Lineage: Eukaryota; Metazoa; Chordata; Actinopteri; Salmoniformes; Salmonidae.